CCCAGAGGAGCACGCACAGGGGGGAUCACAUGCAGCCUGGAUCACAUGGAACAAAAUGCGGAAACCAAGGCUUUCCCUUUUUAACGUAUCAUACAUUGACGACGGAUUACUUUAUUGUUCUGUGAUAGUUUCAAAAUAAAGGAGAGGCAGUGUAAUGUCACGGUAAAGCAACAGAUUGUUCUUCAGAGCCUGCAGAUUCAAACCACAGUUGAGGCAAUGGAAAUACUCCCUAUGUGCAUUUAUUAAAAAAUCUUCCCCCUUUCCCCUCAUUUGGAAUAAACAAUUGCCUUCACCAGCUGCACUUACUGUUGCAACCUCAGUAAUGAAUUUGGGAGGACGCAGACAGCAGGUGAUCUCCUCUGAAACGUGUAAUCUCGAGCUUCUUCUUCAUGUGGAUGCUGCAGAGCACAGUGUGAUUUCGCACAGACAUGAGUUGGAAGAAGAUGGUUCAAGUGCAGCUUGGGCAAGCAGACUGUAGGGCCUGAUUGACCAGCAGGGGUCAAUGCGGUGAGCAAUGAAACAGAGACAUCCCUGCAGAUUGAGUUCCUCCCUCCCUGGGCAAUGCUGCAGCCAGUUAUGCUUUGCCCGGCAUUAGCACAGUCCAGAUUCAAUAACAGGCCACAGGGCUAAGUCAUCCAUUGGGACAGGGCCUUAACAGAAUGAGCCACUCAGCAGAUCCUUGUUUAAAAAAAAUUAAAAAUAAAUAAAUAAUAAAUAUAUAUAUACAUUGAGUCCGCGAAAAACGGCCAGAGUUUGCUUUAAUACACGCAAGAAAUGGACAACCAGAACUAAGCAGAAGAAAAAGACUGAUAGCCUAUGAGUUUACAGUAUAAUCUAUGGUAUCCUCCGGGGCAUUCUAUGGAGAUUAAAUGGUGUGGAACUCCCCAUGGUCAGGACGGGCACCAAAACAAGCACAAUAAACAGUUUACUCCCAGCAUGACACUGCUGCGUGGGACUGACCACAGUGGUCAGACUGACUGAGUUCCCACAGUUAAUGGUCCCCUGUGUUCCAGCAGAAAAUGCAGACUUUCCACUUCAACAGAUCACUGACUGACUCAGCAUAUUUUUUUUAGCGGUAGCAGUUAAAAAAGAAGUAAGCUGUGCAAAUCAUCCCAAUUUUGUUUACUGUAAUAUAUUAUUCUUUCCGUAACAUUUUUUUUUGUGGUAUUUCACUUUGUUCAGAUGGCCAGUAGUUUGCUGUUAAUGUGCCAUUUUAUGAAUUUGAUCAUCCAUCUGUGUUUUGUAAGAAAUUGCAUUUGCAUACCCUCAAAGUGUACUUAAAUAUUGGUUAAAACACGUGGACGGUGCUGCCAUGUUGGGCUUCUCCUUUUUUUGCAAGCGGUGCAAUAUUCUGACCUUAAAAGCUGUCUUAAGUUGCCAUCUGCUGGCCAUAAAUUGAAGUGUCAUUUACUAAA
Anguilla anguilla (European eel) is the source of this 1415-nucleotide long non-coding RNA. RefSeq lists it as uncharacterized. The transcript is spliced from 2 exons. Lineage: Eukaryota; Metazoa; Chordata; Actinopteri; Anguilliformes; Anguillidae. The record is from RefSeq and is a predicted model, not a curated record.